RNAcentral lists this ribosomal RNA (2904 nucleotides) under Escherichia coli. RNAcentral describes it as "23S ribosomal RNA". It matches the Rfam family "Bacterial large subunit ribosomal RNA". The record is from RNAcentral. Lineage: Bacteria; Pseudomonadati; Pseudomonadota; Gammaproteobacteria; Enterobacterales; Enterobacteriaceae.
GGUUAAGCGACUAAGCGUACACGGUGGAUGCCCUGGCAGUCAGAGGCGAUGAAGGACGUGCUAAUCUGCGAUAAGCGUCGGUAAGGUGAUAUGAACCGUUAUAACCGGCGAUUUCCGAAUGGGGAAACCCAGUGUGUUUCGACACACUAUCAUUAACUGAAUCCAUAGGUUAAUGAGGCGAACCGGGGGAACUGAAACAUCUAAGUACCCCGAGGAAAAGAAAUCAACCGAGAUUCCCCCAGUAGCGGCGAGCGAACGGGGAGCAGCCCAGAGUCUGAAUCAGUGUGUGUGUUAGUGGAAGCGUCUGGAAAGGCGCGCGAUACAGGGUGACAGCCCCGUACACAAAAAUGCACAUAUUGUGAGCUCGAUGAGUAGGGCGGGACACGUGGUAUCCUGUCUGAAUAUGGGGGGACCAUCCUCCAAGGCUAAAUACUCCUGACUGACCGAUAGUGAACCAGUACCGUGAGGGAAAGGCGAAAAGAACCCCGGCGAGGGGAGUGAAAAAGAACCUGAAACCGUGUACGUACAAGCAGUGGGAGCACGCUUAGGCGUGUGACUGCGUACCUUUUGUAUAAUGGGUCAGCGACUUAUAUUCUGUAGCAAGGUUAACCGAAUAGGGGAGCCGAAGGGAAACCGAGUCUUAACUGGGCGUUAAGUUGCAGGGUAUAGACCCGAAACCCGGUGAUCUAGCCAUGGGCAGGUUGAAGGUUGGGUAACACUAACUGGAGGACCGAACCGACUAAUGUUGAAAAAUUAGCGGAUGACUUGUGGCUGGGGGUGAAAGGCCAAUCAAACCGGGAGAUAGCUGGUUCUCCCCGAAAGCUAUUUAGGUAGCGCCUCGUGAAUUCAUCUCCGGGGGUAGAGCACUGUUUCGGCAAGGGGGUCAUCCCGACUUACCAACCCGAUGCAAACUGCGAAUACCGGAGAAUGUUAUCACGGGAGACACACGGCGGGUGCUAACGUCCGUCGUGAAGAGGGAAACAACCCAGACCGCCAGCUAAGGUCCCAAAGUCAUGGUUAAGUGGGAAACGAUGUGGGAAGGCCCAGACAGCCAGGAUGUUGGCUUAGAAGCAGCCAUCAUUUAAAGAAAGCGUAAUAGCUCACUGGUCGAGUCGGCCUGCGCGGAAGAUGUAACGGGGCUAAACCAUGCACCGAAGCUGCGGCAGCGACGCUUAUGCGUUGUUGGGUAGGGGAGCGUUCUGUAAGCCUGUGAAGGUGUGCUGUGAGGCAUGCUGGAGGUAUCAGAAGUGCGAAUGCUGACAUAAGUAACGAUAAAGCGGGUGAAAAGCCCGCUCGCCGGAAGACCAAGGGUUCCUGUCCAACGUUAAUCGGGGCAGGGUGAGUCGACCCCUAAGGCGAGGCCGAAAGGCGUAGUCGAUGGGAAACAGGUUAAUAUUCCUGUACUUGGUGUUACUGCGAAGGGGGGACGGAGAAGGCUAUGUUGGCCGGGCGACGGUUGUCCCGGUUUAAGCGUGUAGGCUGGUUUUCCAGGCAAAUCCGGAAAAUCAAGGCUGAGGCGUGAUGACGAGGCACUACGGUGCUGAAGCAACAAAUGCCCUGCUUCCAGGAAAAGCCUCUAAGCAUCAGGUAACAUCAAAUCGUACCCCAAACCGACACAGGUGGUCAGGUAGAGAAUACCAAGGCGCUUGAGAGAACUCGGGUGAAGGAACUAGGCAAAAUGGUGCCGUAACUUCGGGAGAAGGCACGCUGAUAUGUAGGUGAAGUCCCUUGCGGAUGGAGCUGAAAUCAGUCGAAGAUACCAGCUGGCUGCAACUGUUUAUUAAAAACACAGCACUGUGCAAACACGAAAGUGGACGUAUACGGUGUGACGCCUGCCCGGUGCCGGAAGGUUAAUUGAUGGGGUCAGCGCAAGCGAAGCUCUUGAUCGAAGCCCCGGUAAACGGCGGCCGUAACUAUAACGGUCCUAAGGUAGCGAAAUUCCUUGUCGGGUAAGUUCCGACCUGCACGAAUGGCGUAAUGAUGGCCAGGCUGUCUCCACCCGAGACUCAGUGAAAUUGAACUCGCUGUGAAGAUGCAGUGUACCCGCGGCAAGACGGAAAGACCCCGUGAACCUUUACUAUAGCUUGACACUGAACAUUGAGCCUUGAUGUGUAGGAUAGGUGGGAGGCUUGGAAGUGUGGACGCCAGUCUGCAUGGAGCCGACCUUGAAAUACCACCCUUUAAUGUUUGAUGUUCUAACGUUGACCCGUAAUCCGGGUUGCGGACAGUGUCUGGUGGGUAGUUUGACUGGGGCGGUCUCCUCCUAAAGAGUAACGGAGGAGCACGAAGGUUGGCUAAUCCUGGUCGGACAUCAGGAGGUUAGUGCAAUGGCAUAAGCCAGCUUGACUGCGAGCGUGACGGCGCGAGCAGGUGCGAAAGCAGGUCAUAGUGAUCCGGUGGUUCUGAAUGGAAGGGCCAUCGCUCAACGGAUAAAAGGUACUCCGGGGAUAACAGGCUGAUACCGCCCAAGAGUUCAUAUCGACGGCGGUGUUUGGCACCUCGAUGUCGGCUCAUCACAUCCUGGGGCUGAAGUAGGUCCCAAGGGUAUGGCUGUUCGCCAUUUAAAGUGGUACGCGAGCUGGGUUUAGAACGUCGUGAGACAGUUCGGUCCCUAUCUGCCGUGGGCGCUGGAGAACUGAGGGGGGCUGCUCCUAGUACGAGAGGACCGGAGUGGACGCAUCACUGGUGUUCGGGUUGUCAUGCCAAUGGCACUGCCCGGUAGCUAAAUGCGGAAGAGAUAAGUGCUGAAAGCAUCUAAGCACGAAACUUGCCCCGAGAUGAGUUCUCCCUGACUCCUUGAGAGUCCUGAAGGAACGUUGAAGACGACGACGUUGAUAGGCCGGGUGUGUAAGCGCAGCGAUGCGUUGAGCUAACCGGUACUAAUGAACCGUGAGGCUUAACCUU